RNAcentral lists this ribosomal RNA (228 nucleotides) under uncultured bacterium. Its description in RNAcentral is "partial 16S ribosomal RNA". It matches the Rfam family "Bacterial small subunit ribosomal RNA", at positions 103 to 334 of the family's 1533-position model. The record is from RNAcentral.
CGGGUGAGUAAUGUAUGGGGAUCUGCCUGAUGGCGGGGGAUAACUACUGGAAACGGUAGCUAAUACCGCAUAAUGUCUACGGACCAAAGCGGGGGACCUCCGGGCCUCGCGCCAUCAGAUGAACCCAUAUGGGAUUAGCUUGUAGGUAAGGUAGCGGCUUACCUAGGCGACGAUCCCUAGCUGGUCUGAGAGGAUGAUCAGCCACACUGGGACUGAGACACGGCCCAG